RNAcentral lists this small RNA (3163 nucleotides) under Rattus norvegicus (Norway rat). RNAcentral describes it as "uncharacterized LOC103693876". The record is from RNAcentral. Lineage: Eukaryota; Metazoa; Chordata; Mammalia; Rodentia; Muridae.
UGUCUUUGUAGAAAGAGAACUUCUGUCAGGAAAGAAUUUCUUACAUCACAGACUUGCUGAAGCAACCAGUCCUUAUUCAGGACUGCUUACAGUUCAGUUGGCCAACCGGAAUCUCUACAUCUUAACCAAUGAACCCAGCCCCUGGGUGAAAAUAACAGUAACCCACAAGUUGUUAGAAAGGGACUCUGAAUCUCCAGCUCCUGGAGACCUCUAGACUUGGGAAUACUUGUGGUUGGGCCUCCAAGUUUCCUAUGACUGCCUCUACCCUCUGUGAACUGCUCUUACAGAAGACCAGAGGGGACAGUCUCUGGAUCCAGAACUGCAGUCCUCCUGACGACAGUAAACAUGGGUAGUAAAUGACUGAACCAUACUGAGGAUUUGCUAGGAUCAGGGCUGUGAAACUGAGCAUCUAUUCUGACCCACCCUGGCCAUAGCUCUGCGAGGUAAGCACUGUCCUGAUCCACAUUUCACCUUACUGACAGAAGAGGUGCUGCAGACAUGACCAGAUAGAGUACUUACAGAGUACUUAUCACUUAGUGCCACAGCAUGCUAAAUGCUAUGCUUAUGUGAACUUACCCUCGCCACAAUUCCACAAGACAGGUGCUUUUGUGGUUCUAUUUUAGAGACUAGUGAAAAGCCAAAGAGCUACUGUGUGUUGCUCAGGCUUCCCCAGGCUUGAAUGCAGUGCUAGCAAGAGCUCCUGCUUAGGAGGGUGAACAUCAAGCCCCAAGUCAGGUCUCUAUCAGAAAGGGAAACUGACAGUGUCCAACAGGAUGUCCUAAGCCUAAACCCAGGGUCCCUCUUGUUCUGGUUGGGAAGGCUUCUAAAUUAUCCCCAAAGGCAUAUUUUAAAAGUCCUAUCCACAAACCAUUUCUAGAACCUGCUUUGGUCUGGCUUUUAGGAAGCCUUCAUGGGACUCUAGUGUAGCAUACACCGUAUUGGUAAGAGACCAAUUUGUAAGAGGACCCAUUACAUAGAGUUUACACAUGGCCCCAUGCCCACAGGUAGGUGGUUUUUUAUUAUUAAGAUGAUAAAUUAGUGAUGCAAGUCACUCCCUGCAAUAAUAUUAUAUGCUAGAAAUAAAGUGCACAUUAUUCAGAGUCCCUUGGUGUUAUCCUCAGGUCUCUUUUCUGUUUCUAUCUAGGGCACCACCCUAAUUUAGCUGCCGUGCCGCCUAAGUUCCUAUCACUGAGACUGUGUUUUCUUUAUGACCUUGACUGCUUUGGAGGUCACUAGUUGGGUAUAUUGUAGGGUUUAGCUGCUCUCUCUUGUCUAGGUUUAGCCGGAGAACUCCAGGGCUACUGGGAGGAAGGCCACAGAGUUGAUAAACAGCCAUCCUUAGAGCAGCUUAUCAAGGAGUGCCCAUAUUUGCAACAUGACUGAACACAGUUGAUACCGGCCUUGCUCUUUUGGCUAGGUCAGGGUUUGUCCCUUUUUGCCACCAAGGUCAUUUUUGUCCUCCCACUGUGUUGGACUCUUAAAGCAUUGAAUUAAGGGCCUGGAAACAGCUAGGUAACCAUGGGAACCCGAGUUUGGAUCUCCAACAACAAGGUGCAGUACCACAUUGAUAAAGGACAAGACGCAUGCCAAGUAUUAUGCUAAACACUCAGAGUGAAUGUGUGAAUAUGUCCCAUCAUUGCAAAAGCCCAGCAAGGUGGGUACCUUGAAGAGUCCCAUUUACAGAGCCAAAGUUUGGUGAGGUUAAAGAAGCCACCUAGAGUCACUCAGUGAUUUCAAGGAGAGCCUGGAUCCAGUCCUUACCUGACCCCGGAGUUCUGCUAUACGCACUGCUGUCUGACAGAAAAAAAAUACACAUCAUAUGUGUAUUUUAUGUUAUGUUUUACAUCUUUUAGUUCAGAGACAGUUAGCUCAUGAAGGCUUUGACUUAAUGAAUGGAUUAACUCUGGGUGGACAUUGUGGAGAAACUGUGAAUAGUUGUAAGUGGGGCUUAGUUGAAAGAAAGGGGUCACUUCGAAGGUACGUCUUUGGGGACUAUGUCACACUGUACUCCUUCUUGUAUUCUUCGGUUCCCCAUUUCCUUCCUGUUCACCAUGAUCUUACCGCUGUAAUGAUCUGGAGUACAUGGUGCAAACCCUCACAAACCAGGAAGUAAAGCAGAUCUGCUCUCCCUAAACUGUUCACACCAGGCACUAAGUCACACAGCCACGAGGGAAGUAAAGACCGUAUGCAAGACCGACAAAGGUAAUGAACUCCAAAGGCACAUUCAGGAUGUGCUGGAAGUUUAACAUUUAGAGUUUUGAUUUGCCAAAGAGUUUGCCCUCAAAGAGCCCAUUCCUGAAACCUUCUGCAGUCCAGACUUUGACUUCAUUAUAUAUGGCAUGUGUAAUUUACAUACGCUCUGAGCAAAUAAAUGAAUGUGUGAAUAUGUUCUCUUCCAGAGACGGAGAAAGACUCUUAGGCGAGGAAGAUGGUAAAUUCCAGAAGGGCAUGUAUUGUACCUGAUUUUUACCUAGCAGAUAAAGGAUGAACAGCCUGUGAAUCAAGAUCCUACUUUGGGUGACACUGGUCAGAGCCAUAGGUACAGAUGAAGACUCUACACUGUGGGCAGUGACCUGUUUCAUGAAAGUGUGGCAAGCAGAAGCAAACUGAAGAUUAGUGUUCUGUGAUUCUACCACACACCUGAUGCCACAAGAACAUGGUCUAAUUCACUGUGGUGAAUACAUUGUCACGUGUAAGCAAGACACCCACGACUCUGGUUUGCCAGACAUCAGUAUUUGCCAUGUAUAGCCGCAAAGAAGAAGGCAUCAGAUGGACUGUCUUUCCAUUGCUCUUCUAGGGUAAUUGUCUCCCUUCAUUUCCUUCCUUUAUCCCUUUCAUCUCUCCUUUGAUCCUCUUGGUAUAGCCACCCCUCUCCUUCACUGUCCUCCUUUCCUUCUUUCCUCUUCACCUCCUUCUGGUUUUGACCGCUGCUUCAGCCCCAAGGAAUUGAGAGUCCUGAGUUACAGCUCUUGCAGUCCCUUAAGUGAGUUGCUUUCCUCGUUUCUUUCAGCUCUCUUUGCUCCCCUGAAAUGUCAGAAUGACCAAGCCUCUUGCUAACUUCAGUGGUUAGGGGUCAAAGACAUUCUGUAGGUAUAAUGUUCCUCACAGAUAAAGGUGUUUCUGGAUAAAAGUGGGAGACAAAUCUAUUUUUUAUUUCAUGGGU